ACAGAGGGUGCGAGCGUUAAUCGGAAUUACUGGGCGUAAAGCGCACGUAGGCGGCUUGGUAUGUCGGGUGUGAAAUCCCCGGGCUCAACCUGGGAACUGCAUUUGAUACUGGCGGGCUUGAGUUCCGGAGAGGAUGGUGGAAUUCCCAGUGUAGAGGUGAAAUUCGUAGAUAUUGGGAAGAACACCGGUGGCAAAGGCGGCCAUCUGGACGGACACUGACGCUGAGGCGCGAAAGCGUGGGGAGCAAACAGGA
Molecule: ribosomal RNA, 253 nt
Filed under: uncultured prokaryote
Description: partial 16S ribosomal RNA
Rfam family: Bacterial small subunit ribosomal RNA
Source: RNAcentral